AUAUUGCAGAAGAGGGAGAUAUGUGAGAUCAUAGGAGCUGGUCACCAGAGUGUUGACAUCACCAAGCCUAAUUUCAGUGUGUCAGCCUAUGGGCAGUAAAGCCUUUCCUGACCCUGGGUUGUGGUGAAGGAAAGGGCAGCAUUUGUUGCAGGUUGCCAAGGUGGCUAAUGCUCAAAUAACCCAGUGGGUGGGGAGUUCCCAUCAUGUCUCAGUGGAAAUGAAUCUGACCAGUAACCAUGAGGAUGCAGGUUUGCUCCAGGGCUUUGCUCCAUGGGUUAAGAAUCCAGUUUUGCAGUGAGCUGUGAUGUUGGUCACAGACACACUUGGAUCCUGCAUUGCAGUGGCUGUGACAUAGGCCAGAGGCUACAGCUGCCAUUUGACCCCUAGCCUGGGAACUUCCAUAUGUCACAGGUGUGGCCCUAAAAACAAAAACAAAACAAAACAAAACCCAGUGGCUUUUAGUGAAAAGUUUUUAAAGACAGAGUGAGGGAGAGUGUUGCAGGUGCAUGACCACCUGGGGGACAUUCCUCUGAUUGGUUGGUGGUGAGGUAAUCAGGAGUCAACAUCAUCAGUCUUGGUUUCCACCCAGUCCACAUGCUUGUCUUGAGAAAGCAGGUAACUUUUCCUACCUGUUAGGGGUUUCAGUGUUUGCCAAGCAGCUCAAAUGAUUUGGCUCAGAAUAUUACCUGUAGCCCUUGAGGAGGAACUAAAAAUCCUUGACUUGGUUUCAUGGGUAAAUCAUUCUUUUUUGUCUGGCUCGAUUGUUUCCUUUCUUUCUGUGUUUUUCUCACUUCUCUGAUUACAUAUAUUCUUUGGAACUCAGGGAAGGCCUAGGAGGCUAACAUUUGUCUACAAACCAGCAGAAGGCCAAGGGCGUGGAAUGGAGCAGGGGAGGUGGGACUUUCCCAGGAAGACUCCCUAGGGUCCUGUUCAGUUUCAUCCAGAGAGGACAGGGAGAACAAAGAGGUGACUGAUGAUUGAUCAGCAAGUUGGGCUUGGCUGAUUGGAGGUACAUUUACCCCACCUGUGUCCUUGAAAUGUACACUCUGCCUGUGGUUCCCAGGCUGGGAGCCACUUUGGAGGAGGCAGGCUUGAAGGAACAGUGUAUUGCUGAGACUCUCUGAACAACAUGCAUGUUUGAACCCACUGAAGGCCUCUGUAAAAGCUUUCAAGAUCCUAGCCAGCGGGGGUGGAGAGCUGAUUUUGGCUACCAAGACAAGCCUUGUAAGUUCCCUCACUUAUUAAAACUGCCUCAUACCAUUCUGGGGCAGGGGGAUGGUGACUGGCUCUAUUUGUAGGGGCCAGUUUGUGAACAGACAGCCUGGUUUUCUGCCCCCCUCCUCCAUGGCAACUGAAUUAUGCUUUAUGUGAAUGGAGGGGCUUGUGUGUGGGUGUUUUUCCUAUCCUCUUGAUCUUUCAUAAGCAUCUUCCCUAAUAUAUUUUUCCCCUAAUUAUGUUUUGGCAUUUGUUUAUUGUGGGACUGAACUGAUACUAGAAUUAACAGAAAACUUUCAGCAAUUGUGUGCUUUUUCAUGUGGUUUCCACUCUUUGGUUAUUAUGAAUAGUGCUGCUAAGAACCUUCAUGUACAGGCUUUUAUGUGGACAAAGGUUUUCUUAGUUAUACACCUAGGAAUGGAAUUCCUGGUUGGUGUAGUAACUCUAUGUUUGAACAUUUUGAGAAACUGCCCAUGUUUUCCUAAUUGGCUGCAUUGUUUCAACUUCUUAGUAUAAAUAUAGAAGGGUUCACCCUCCUCUUAUUCCUUGCUAACAUUUUGAUAUUGUCCAGUAAUUUUUUUUACAAUUUAAUCAUCCUAGUGGAAGUGAUGUGAUAUCUCAUUGUGAUUUUGAUUCAUAUUUCCUGAUGAUUAAUGAUGCUAAGUAUUGUUCAUGUGCUAAUUGGCUAUUUGCAUUUUUUUUUAAUUUGGAAAAAUCUCUCUUUAAAUCCUUUGCACAUUUUAAAAUUGGGUUAUUAUUCCAUUUGUUGAAGUGUAAGAAUACUUUCUAUAUUCUUAUGCAAAUAUCUUAUCAACUAUGUGAUAUAUAACUCCAUUCAUCUGUUGGUGGACACUUAGGUUGCUUCCAUAUCUUGGCAAUUGUAAAUAAUGCUGCUAUAAAUAUUGGGGUGCAUGUAUCUUUUUGAAUUAGUUUUUUUGGGAGGGUUACAUACAAAAGAGUGGAAUUGUUGGGUCAUAUGGUAGUUCUAUUUUAGUUUUUGGAGACACUACUAUACUGAUUUCCAUAAUGGCUGCACCAACUUACAGUCUCUCCAACAGUGUACUGGGAUUCCCUUUUCUCCAUGUCCUUGCCAACAUUUGUUAUUUACAUUCUUUCUGAUGACAACCAUUCUGACAGGUGUGAGGUGAUAUCUCAUUGCAGUUUGAUUUGCAUUUCUCUGAUGAUUAGUGAUGUUGAGCAUCUUUUCAUGUGAAGUACUAAACAUGAAUUAGUACUUAGUUACUUAGUUUGCAGUAAGUUUUGAAAUCAGGAAGUAUGAGUCGACUAAUUUUAGUCUUCUUUUUCCAGAAUGUAUUGGUUAUUCUGGUUCCAUUGCAUUUCCAUGUGAAUUUUAGGAUUGGCUUGUCAUUUUCUGCAAAAUUUAUAGCUGAGAUAUUUAAUGGGGAUUGUAUUGAAUUCAGAGCAUUUAUUAUUUCUACUAGGUAUUUGUGGGGAUUGAUUUCUUAAGAAUUUAAAACUAUAGAGCAUCUGCCAUAUACAAGUAGAUAUGAUUUUCCUUCUUUACAAUCUAGAUGCCUUCUAUUUCCUUUUACUUAGACGUGCUGAUUGGAACCUCUAGCACAAUGUUAAAUGGAAGUGGCAAGAGUUAUUGUUCUUCUUGAUCCUAGGAGGGCAGGAAUAGGAAGACUAGCUAAAGGGAUCGUGGAGCUCACAAGUAAAAGAGAUCCUGUCUGAUGAUUAGAGUGGGCUGGUGUGGGAGGGUACUUUUUGAAGAUGACAUGGUACUUAAACUAGGUGGGCUUGCAGUAAAGCACCACAAAGGAGGAAAUAAUAUUAGAACAAAAGGCCCUAAGGGAAAAUGUAUAUGCUAUAUGUGAGUGAAUGAGAGCCCUGUUAUAGUCAGCAUCCUGGCUUUGAAUAAUUAUGGGACCUGAAAUGGGCAGGAAACACCUUUUUUUUUUUGGCCACACCCAUGGCAUGUGGAAAUUCCUGUGCUGUAUUUGUAACCUGUACCACAGUUGUGGCUUAACCCACUGCACCAUGAGGGAAGUUCUAGGAAAUUCUGGAAGAGAGUUAGAUGUGUAAGGAGCAGAGCCAAUUAAAUAUAUAAUAUCAUUCUAAAAGUCAUGUACUGUUUCAGUAAAAGGAAAAACAACACUCUGGAGUUACUUGGUGGCACAGUGGGUUAA
RNAcentral lists this long non-coding RNA (3365 nucleotides) under Sus scrofa (pig). Its description in RNAcentral is "lncRNA (ENSSSCG00050068137.1)". The record is from RNAcentral. Lineage: Eukaryota; Metazoa; Chordata; Mammalia; Artiodactyla; Suidae.